UUGUGUCUGCAUGCUUGAAGCAUCCAGCUCACCUGCCUGCAAAAAAAUUGAUCCAAUGGGUGGGAGUUCCCAUUGUGGUUCAUGGGUUAAGAACCCGACUAGUCUCCAUGAGGAGGGGGGUUUGAUCCCUGACCUCACUCAAUGGGUUAAGGAUCAGGCGUUGGUGCAAGCUGUGGUGUAGGUGCCAGAUGCAGCUGGAAUCCCAAGUGGCUGUGGCUGUGGCCAGCAGCUGCAACUCCAAUUCUAUUCCUAGCGAGGGAAAUUCCAUAUGCCACAGGUAUGGCCCUAAAAAGAAAAAAAUAUAAAUAGACAGGUGGGCAUGGGGGAGGGGGCCACGGCUGCCACCGCAGGUAUUUGGUGGGCCCCGUUCUCCACUCGGCACUGCCUCCCUAUGUUUGUGAAUCGAAUUUAAACUCUCUUUAUGACUGGGAUAAAGAUGGGCUCUUCUCUUCCAAAGACGACCUAUCUGAAGAGUUAGGAUGUCUACAGAUGCGAGCCUUAGCUUUGUGUUAGACAGUUACCUAGUCAUCGCGUGUAUGUACGUGGAACAUUCGGAGCAGCCACAUCUUAAGUACACUUAAGGAGCUCAUCAGAGGAAGUCUUUGGUGAUUCCUUGGUAAAGUGCAUCGUUUCUUUGAAUUUUUCUGUCGCUCGGAUUUUUCUGCUUUAGGUUGGCUUAGAAUAGAGGGUUCCACAGUUUAGGACCAAAAUGGGCUUGGCCUGGGUAAAGUUCAGAGUAACCAGAAAGAUCUUUGGCAUCUUCAUAUUUUUCUUUCGAGAUCCAUUUAGCAUGGUGAGGUGUGGACACCCUUUCUUCUGGUCUUUAAAGUUGCUUAGGUCAUAUAUCUUCUUUAUAAAUGAAACGCCCUUGUCAGAAUGUUUUUUUGUGUUUUAUUUUAUAUUUUUAAAAUUUAAUUUUCUUGGAGUAUAGUUGAUUUACAAUGUUGAAUUAGUUUCAGGUGUACAGCCAAGUGAGUCAGUCAUACAUAUAAAUACAUCCAUUCUUUUUUCCCAUAUAAGUUAUUACAAACUAUUGAGUAGAGUUUCCUCUGCAGUAGAUUCUCAUGAAUCACCUUUUUUACACCGUAGUGUGUAAGUGUUAUUCCCACCAUUCCAAUUCUUCCCUCCCUCAACGGUUUCGCCUAUGGUAACCAUAAGAUGGGUCUUGAAAUCUGUGGGUUUGUUUCUAUUUUUUAAAUAAGUUCUUCUGUAUCAUUUUAGUAGAUUUCACAAUUAAGUGAAACCGUAUGAUAUUUUUCAACUAUGAUUGACUGACUUCACUCAGUACGAUCAUCUCUAGGUCCAUCUAUGCUGUUGUGAAUAGUAUUCAUUCUUUUUUAAGGCUGAGUAAUAUUCCAUUGAAUAUAUGUACCACAUCUUCUUUAUCCAUUGCUCUGUCGAUGGACAUUUAGGUUGCUUCCAUGUCUUGGCUAUCGUAAACAGUGCUGCAACGAACUUUUUUUUUUUUUUUUUUUUGGUAUUUUAUUUUAGAAGCUGCUGCAACAGAAAGAUUCCUAAGAAAUCAAAAGUUUCCGUAAUCACCUUGAACACGUGUUGGCCCCUUCUCCUUUGAGAUCCUCAACUUUUUGGCAUCUCUCAUAAGACCCCUGUGGGUAUUCAGAGUAUUUAGUCCACAGCUUCACAGGAAGAGGUGACAGGAAGUAACCAAAGGAAGCUGUGGGGCUACUGGACAGUGGCGGGAUAAAUCCACUGCCUUUCAGCUCCAGUUUUGCUUCCAUAUGGAACUCCCAGGGCUCUCCUAGUUUAAAGAACCAGGGGCAUCCUUUCUCAGGUCUUUCCUGGACUCCGAUUGAUUUCAGUAUAACUCCAGUCUUGGCAACAUAGACUUGGAAGCCAAGUGUAGACUCUAUAUUCUUUGAUCCUUAAGGAAACUGGAACAAAUCUAGUUGUUUAU
RNAcentral lists this long non-coding RNA (1915 nucleotides) under Sus scrofa (pig). RNAcentral's name for it is "lncRNA (ENSSSCG00000055242.1)". Lineage: Eukaryota; Metazoa; Chordata; Mammalia; Artiodactyla; Suidae. The record is from RNAcentral.